UACCCCCCAUCCGCUCAUUGUUCCUGCUUUUGUUUUAAUCUCUCUACCGUACGAAGCAAUCCCCAUCCAAUCUCUCUCCAUCUUCGUUACUUCUCUUCCUCAACCGAAGCCCACACACUCCGCUCACGCCAACCUCGAGAUCUUCAAUCAAGUUGCUUCUCUCUCGCGCUGCCACCGAAGACCCAAAGUCUAGCAUCUUCGUUCGUGCCUUGCCAACAGCCACGAAGACCUGCAGCCACGCCAACCAGUUGCUUCCUCGUCCAUGUGAAUUUCCCCGACGCCACGAAGACAGGAGCUGUUGCCGCGCCAGCACGCCCACCGACCCACUCAGCUUCUCCACGCAUCCAAGCUCGGCUUCUUCAGUCAACAACAACAACAAGCGAAGCCUUUGGUUGACCGAGCAGCCUUGCCUUGCUGCCACUUGGCAGCGUCUGCUCUUUGUUCGGUCAACAAAGCCGAGUUGAAGACCACCGAGCGAAGCUGCUUCUCCUCUUCGCCACGCCAAUUGAAGCCAGCGAAGUCUGCAGCAGUCAGUCCGCCCAUUUCUCCUCUUGCGUGUGUCUUCGGUUAGCUGAAGUCCAUGCGCCCAGCAACCGAGUCAACCGAAGUCGCACGCCAGCGAUGCCUAGUCCACCGAUCCUUCAGCAAGCCCACGCAAACCAGCAGCCAGCUCAGCCCACCUUCAGGCAAUUUCGGCCCAGCAAAGAGGUCAAGCCAGCCCAAGAAGCCAGUCCAGCUCAGCCCAUAUUCACAACAUCAGUUUGGCCCAAGUUCAAGCCUAGUUCAGUUGUUUUAGUCUUGAAGCCCAGGUCAACUCAGCCCCAAGAAUUUGAGCAGGCCCAAGCCCAAAGUUUCUGCGAGCUUGCUAGGUUUUAGGCCCAGCCCGAGAGUUCGUCGUUGCGUCGCCGUCGUGGUGAUUCGGUCUCUGCUUUUAUCAAGUGAGUUUUACUCACUAAUACUUUAUUAGUUUGCUAAUUAUGCUUAGGGUUGGUUAGAUUUAAUUAAGUGCAAUUAUGUGGUUAGAUUAGGUUAGAACAAUUAAAUUAGUGACUUAAUGAUGCAUGUUAGGUGGUUAGACUUAGUCAUUAGCAAGUAGAGAGCCUUUAAUAUUUAUUGAAUGUAUAUCGGGAUUUUUCCCGACCCGUUUCGGGCUCCAAUGGGCAUAAAUUGGAUUUUUAAUAUUUAUUUAUUUAAUUUUCGAAAUUAAUUAUUUAAUUAAUUAUUUUUCCGGAAAUUCAACCGGGAUGGCCGGUGACCGGAAUUUCAUGCUGAUUGUCGUGGUGCAGUCCAUUUAUUUAAUUAAGCUUCAAUUUAUAUGGAAUCGAUUUAAAUUGUGAAAUUUGAGGAUUUGUCCUAAAUUGUUUGUUAUUGAAUAUUUGAUUGGUAGAUGGCCGAGUAUGGGUAUAUAGCACCAGUUAUGUUAAUGGGCUAUAAAGUAGAGAGAAUGGUGAAAGCUAAUUGAGAAUGUUAUUGGCUGAGACCAAUCAGGUACAAUAUUAUAGGACAUACGUGGUUCGGUGAUUGAAAGUAUUACUGGCGAAAACGGCGCCUUAAAUAAUGCACGUGAAUGACUUAUAGACAAACGUGGUUAGGUGGUUAAGGAAAUAUCACUGGUGAAAAUGACGCCUUAAAGAACUCAUGAUAUUGUCUAUUGCCGAUGUCACCUUGGCGAAAACGGCGCCCUAGAAAGGACACGUGGUUUGGUGAUCGAGGAUAUCACUGGUGAAAACGGCGCCUUAAAGAAUGCAUGGUGUCGGUGAUCGGUAUGUCAUUGGCGAAAACGAUGCCCGAGAAACACAUGUGAUUUGGUGAAGGAGUAUACCAUUAGGGAAUUAUGGUAUGCGUGGGAAUGACCUAGAGAUGGUUCGAAUGACAUGUAAUCGACUAGGUCGAUUGGUCAAUGCUUGAUUGGAUGUCGUGAAUUGUUUGAAUAUCUGAGGCCAAGGUAAGUUCUUUGAUCUGUGCGUGUUUAGGCAGCCCAUAGUGUAUUGGCUUGCUAAUCGGGUCUUAGGGGGUAGAACUCACUGAGACGUGGUCUCAUUGGUUAUUGAAUAACCAUUUCAGGACCUUGAGGGGGAGCCAAGGAGGAGGAACCUAAGGAGGAGUGCAUUGAUGUGAACCUGAGGAGGAGAAAGAUUUUUGAAGCAGAAGAUGAUCCGGAAAGGGAUCUUGAGUACAACCCGGAUGUGGAUUAAGAUCCCAUCCCUUUUGUGAACCCUGUCUUAGUGUAGAUAGGUGUAAGAAGUAUGCUGUGAAUAGUAUUGUAAAUAUACUAUGAGUUGUGCUGUUAAUAAAAGUGUAGUUGUGAAUUUCAAUAUGAAAAAUAUGACCUGCUUUUCU
RNAcentral lists this long non-coding RNA (2340 nucleotides) under Eucalyptus grandis. RNAcentral describes it as "long non-coding RNA (EGRA_LNC002933)". Lineage: Eukaryota; Viridiplantae; Streptophyta; Magnoliopsida; Myrtales; Myrtaceae. The record is from RNAcentral.